AGCUGACAAUCGCAGGCCAAGCCUUGAAGGUCCUCAGAUCAAGGCUGAGAUCAAGCCUGGGGUGGGACAGGGCCUGCAAGAGAGAAGGAUGUGGGACCAACCAAGGGAACAAAGAGUUGUGGGCCCCAGAGCAGACCAGUUCUCACAACAGCAGUGGGACCACCUCCCGAGGUUUCAAGCCAUGGGGUUGGACAGCAAGAGGAGGAAUGUAACCUGCACCUAAUAGUCUAGAAAUCCUCUCUGACCACGUGGCAGCAUGGAGUUGCUCCAAACCUAUUCUGGCUGGCUAACAGGAGGUUGUGCUGCCCAAUUCAAGAAUCUUCCUCUGCUCAAUUAAACUCUGCUAAAUCCAAUUGUCUGAAGUUUUUCUUUCAAUGGCCACCAGGAUUCAGUUAUUUGAGCAAGUUCCCUAAUUCCUACAAGGGUUUUUUUUUUAAUCACUUUACUCCUCAUUGGUAAAAUUUAGAUAAUAAUAACUCCUAACUCACAGGAUUGGUGCAAGAUUUAAGGAGUUAAUGUGUGUUAGAGCAGUGCCUGAUACAUAGUAAGUGCUGCAUAAGGGACAGUCAUCAUGAGUACAAUUAAAUGUGCUAAGCAUAUACACCCAGGUUCAUAGCCAUACUAUUCACAAUAGCCAAAAGGUGGAAGCAACCCAAGUGUCCAUCAAUGGAUGAAUGGUAAAAAAAAAAUGUGGUCUAUUCAUACAACAGAAUAUUAUUCAGCCUUAAAAAAGGAAGGAAAUCCUAGCACAUGCUACCACGUGGAUGAAUCUUGAGUUAAAUAAACCUGUUACAAAAGGACAAAUACUGUGUGAUUCCACUUAUAUGAGGUACCUAGAGUAGGCAAAUUCAUAGAGACAGGAAGUAGAAGGAUGGUUGCCAGGGGCUGGGGAGAAACGGGCAUAGACAAUAGUGGUUUAAUGAAGACAGUUUCAGAUCUUCAAGAUGUCCUGAAGAUUGGAUGUACAAAUGUGAAUGCACUUAACAUUACUAAACUGUAUGCUUAAAAAUAAUUAAGAUCGAAAAUGUAUGUGCAUCUUACCACAAAUUUUUAAGAAGUGCUAAGUGUAAAUUACAAUGUGAAAUAAGAAUCAGGGUAGAGACAGGGAGUAGCAGCUGUACAGCAGCAAAGUUUAUUGUGGUGUGCAAGGCUGCACAUCUCCAAGAAUUUCCAUUUAUGUCUUGGUCUACGUAACUGGCACACCAGAGGUGCUCAGUUCACAGCCUUCCUGAAUAUUCAUGGUGUUUCAGACUAUUUCUCCCUCCCACAUCUCCCUGAGGUGUUAGUCAAGGUUCUUGUUGCAAGCAACAGAAACUAGCAGGAGAGAAGUUUAUUUAAAAGAUAUUAGAUGGCUUGAGAACUAGGCUCAAGGCCAAACUUCCAGGAAAGACCCAAAAUCAUGCUGCAGUAAAGGCCUGAUGAGAAAACCAUGCCAUUGACCUCACUAAGUCCUAAAAGCUUUAAGGACUGGCCUAAAGUCCACUUACUCAAAUGUGGCAGUAGCUGCUAUGGCCACCGGCACCAAUGUCACCUGUGUGUGAGGACAGACUGCCACUCCCAAGAACUGCAUGCCUCAGCUGCCACUGUCACAGGCAAAAAUGAAUUCCAUGUGGAACUUCCUCCUUCAAAUUUCUAACAUAUGACAGAUAGGUAUAGACAGAUAUUUAUAUUGUAUCAAAUAGAAAACAAGUAACAAAAUUACAUGCAGGUGAGUCUGACUGAUGGCGCAUAAGCCACUUGCCUGGGCCCUAGUUGAUGAAGAGGCUGGCAUGGUGAGUUUUCUCAGUUCUAUCUUGGGGUAGUGGGAUUCACAAACCUAGAAAUUUUUUUUAAAUUGCAAGGUGAACAGUACAGAGCAGCUGAAACCUUGACAAAUGUCCACUACAGUCCCCCACUUGGCCUUCCAACACCAACAUACAAUCUUCUACACUUCAACCUAAUGAUCAUGACGUUAUCCAGAAAAUGGUCAAAUAACUCACCAUUGCCUUGGAUUAAAAAAACUGGACAUUAUCAAAAUAUCGGUGAUCCCUAUGAAAAUCUAUAAAUUCAUAGAGACAAGAUCUACGGGAUCAAUGUUGGACAGGUUCAGCUUAAAAUGCUAAAGGAACCCCACAUAUAGAGUUUGCGAGUUUACCUGGUUUUCACAUAUGGGCUGGAGUCAUCUGUGCAUUAGGUUUAGUUUUGGAUGAGAUGACCA
This 2197-nucleotide long non-coding RNA is filed under the name Homo sapiens (human). RNAcentral describes it as "non-protein coding lnc-C1QTNF9B-3:1". The record is from RNAcentral. Lineage: Eukaryota; Metazoa; Chordata; Mammalia; Primates; Hominidae.